GUGGCGGAUGAAGUCUGAUGUUAGAAGCUUCUGUGUAAUCUGCCAUAAGUCAUGCAAAAAUGUACUGUGCAUGUAUUUAGGAUAUGUUAGUAUAAAGGGGUAAAACCAUGUUAAUGCCUUUAUUUCCAUUUUUCUCAAUGACAACUUUUGGUAUUUGCAGGUGUCUUCCAGCAAGGAUGCCUACUCUCAUGGGAUCUUUGGCAUUGGGAAGUACAGGACGGAGUUCCUGUCAAGAUUGCAGAAUUUGGAAGUCUGGAUGACUAGACAGAAAUAAUUACUUUAUGAAAUAGAAAUGGAAGAACUCGAUACAAGUCCAACAAUUGUGGAUCCUACAUGUUCAGUGCCACUUGAGUAGGUGUGGUGUUCAUAUAAAGUCGCUGACUGAAGAGUGGUGGCUUCAAAGCCAUCUGUGUGGUUGCUUGUGUGCAGACACUUUUGGUAGCACUGUCUCGGUUUUUCUGGAGAUGUGAAGGUGCAGACAGUUCUGAAGAUGGAUGGAUACAGAUGUAAUGCAGAUUUGAUGUAUGCAUAUAAUUUUGCUAUUAUAUAAAGUGUGUAAACUCAAUAAAUAGUAUGGAAAGUU
Molecule: long non-coding RNA, 583 nt
Organism: Penaeus indicus
Lineage: Eukaryota; Metazoa; Arthropoda; Malacostraca; Decapoda; Penaeidae
Exons: 4
Source: RefSeq, a predicted model, not a curated record